CGAGUGGCGGACGGGUGAGUAACGCGUGGGAAUCUGCCUUAUAGUGGGGGAUAGCCCGGAGAAAUCCGGAUUAAUACCGCAUACGCCCUACGGGGGAAAGCUGGGGAUCUUCGGACCUGGCGCUAUUAGAUGAGCCCGCGUUAGAUUAGCUAGUUGGUGGGGUAACGGCCUACCAAGGCGACGAUCUAUAGCUGGUCUGAGAGGACGAUCAGCCACACUGGGACUGAGACACGGCCCAG
This 239-nucleotide ribosomal RNA is filed under the name uncultured bacterium. RNAcentral describes it as "partial 16S ribosomal RNA". It matches the Rfam family "Bacterial small subunit ribosomal RNA", at positions 92 to 334 of the family's 1533-position model. The record is from RNAcentral.